RNAcentral lists this ribosomal RNA (293 nucleotides) under uncultured bacterium. RNAcentral's name for it is "partial 16S ribosomal RNA". It matches the Rfam family "Bacterial small subunit ribosomal RNA", at positions 775 to 1067 of the family's 1533-position model. The record is from RNAcentral.
GGAUUAGAUACCCUGGUAGUCCACGCCGUAAACGAUGUCUACUAGCCGUUGGAAUCCUUGAGAUUUUAGUGGCGCAGCUAACGCACUAAGUAGACCGCCUGGGGAGUACGGUCGCAAGAUUAAAACUCAAAUGAAUUGACGGGGGCCCGCACAAGCGGUGGAGCAUGUGGUUUAAUUCGAAGCAACGCGAAGAACCUUACCUGGCCUUGACAUGCAGAGAACUUUCCAGAGAUGGAUUGGUGCCUUCGGGAACUCUGACACAGGUGCUGCAUGGCUGUCGUCAGCUCGUGCCG